GGCUCAGAACGAACGCUGGCGGCAGGCUUAACACAUGCAAGUCGAGCGCCCCGCAAGGGGAGCGGCAGACGGGUGAGUAACGCGUGGGAAUCUACCCUUGACUACGGAAUAACGCAGGGAAACUUGUGCUAAUACCGUAUGUGUCCUUCGGGAGAAAGAUUUAUCGGUCAAGGAUGAGCCCGCGUUGGAUUAGCUAGUUGGUGGGGUAAAGGCCUACCAAGGCGACGAUCCAUAGCUGGUCUGAGAGGAUGAUCAGCCACAUUGGGACUGAGACACGGCCCAAACUCCUACGGGAGGCAGCAGUGGGGAAUAUUGGACAAUGGGCGCAAGCCUGAUCCAGCCAUGCCGCGUGAGUGAUGAAGGCCCUAGGGUUGUAAA
This 378-nucleotide ribosomal RNA is filed under the name Rhizobium leguminosarum. RNAcentral describes it as "bacterial SSU rRNA". It matches the Rfam family "Bacterial small subunit ribosomal RNA", at positions 21 to 429 of the family's 1533-position model. Lineage: Bacteria; Pseudomonadati; Pseudomonadota; Alphaproteobacteria; Hyphomicrobiales; Rhizobiaceae. The record is from RNAcentral.